This is a long non-coding RNA of Quercus lobata, 1314 nucleotides long. RefSeq lists it as uncharacterized. The transcript has 7 exons. NCBI's taxonomy places the organism in Eukaryota, Viridiplantae, Streptophyta, Magnoliopsida, Fagales, Fagaceae. The record is from RefSeq and is a predicted model, not a curated record.
GCGGCGCGAAUUGGGCCAGCCGCUGUACAGGAGAUCUAUUGCGGCGCGCUACAGCGGCGGGCCAAUAUCCCGCCGUAAUAAACGUGUUUCAGCGGCCCAAAGGUUAGCUAUAGCGGCGGGUCAUUGACCCGCCGCAAUAGGCCCUUACAUUUCCCACACCCGAUCCUAAAUUUUCCCUCUGUUUUUUUUUCCCUAUUCAUUUUAGCGCCUCUUCGUUUUCCCUCAGUCUCCCACACUCUCUCUCUUUCUCUCAGACACCGAAAAUCUCCUCACUGUCUCAUCUCUACCACUACCCACAAACCCACAGCCACAGCCGCCACAGCCACCACCACCACCACCCAAAAAUCGAGCCUAGUUAGGUCCAAAAAGAAAUGGGUUAGGUCUAGCCCGACCCAUUUCUCUUAUCCUUUCUAACCCUAACGGUUCAUGUCCCUAAUCUAGAACCUUCCCUCUUGACAGAAACCCAUGGCUUGAGCAACCUGAUCUCAUCGCCUCAAACCGGCACCGCCAUCAGUAGAGGCGGGUUGCUCCUCAUCAAAAACCCUUACCGAGAUCUCUCUAAUCUAGGUUCGAUCUCUCUCUAAUCUAGGUUCGAUCUCUCUCUCUCCCUCUAGACCUUGAUCGGCCUUUCCGAUCAACAUUCCUUUGAGCUUUGAAUUCGACCACUCAGUUUUGUCCAACUUGGUUCGCAAAGUUCCAGACUAUCGUUGUUGUUUCUGUUGCCCCGUAUGGAGUUGUACAGCUUGGCUCUUUAAAUAAAGCACCAGUGAAGCGAGGAAAUGCAGUGAACACACUACACAACACAAUCACUUUUGAAAGUUCUCAAGAAAGAAUAGGUGGAAAGGACAGCCAAAGAAGAGAAUACAGGCAAAACCAUAAGAACUGGUGGAGUAAGGGGGAGCAAUCAACCACUUUAGCAACUGCUACUGGUUCUAGCUUAUAGAUUGCAAAAAGAAGAGGCACUAUAAGUUUGUGUGAUCAAAACAAGUGAAGUUGGUGAAAAACUUAAGGAUGCUCCUCUGAUCGAACAAUCUCCAGCUCUCCCCAAAUCAUCAGCCGCAUCUUAUCAACCAAGAAGCUUGUAAGUUUUAUCUUGGAUUUCUUGGGCUUUUUUGUGUACAGAGAACUAUGGAAGAACAAUCGCAUUUCUUGCAAGUGUUGAAAGACAUUUUUAAACACUUUAGAAUUUUGAUUAUAGUAUUAGAUUAAUUUCAGCGGUUGUUUUAUUCAAAUGACCACAUCUUUUUUUUGUUAAUUUAAAGAUGGUGGUUAUAGACAAUGUUAUGUAUUUGAUAAUAUAUUUCAAUGUCAAUA